AUGGGAGGGGCACUGUCUUCUUCCUGCUUCCUGGAGCACCACCAAAGAAGUGAAAAUGAUACGCCACAAGAGCAGGGUGCGACCGAGACCCAGGAUGGGGAGGUCACCAGCUAUGCCUACCCCAGCAUCACAGGAGACAUGGAGACCAUCUGGACUGCUCGUGUGAUGAGGGCGCGUUUCCGUUCUGUUUUGGGCCAAGCCAAUGGCAGAGCUACUGCUCUCACCCUCCCAAUGGGAAUCCUGGCUCUGCAGAACCCAUCCUUUUCUCAGUGUGGGUGCCAGGGCAUCACCUCCCUCCACACGUACGUUAAAGAAGGUUUCAGGUGGACGUGGGGAAGGACCUUCACUGCCUGCGUGGUCCUUCCCGGAGCCCUCCUCUCGAAUGCCACAAAACCGACCCGCCCCAGCAGAGGCGCCCUCAGCCCUUGUGGCUCCUGCUGACCCUCCCCACAGGGAAGCUGUCUGCACAGUGGCUCCGAAGGAGUGUGGCCUAGGGAUCCUCUGUAAGUGGCCUGAUAUAGCAGCAGAGCCCAGCGUCACCUUCUGGUCUUCGUCAGCCUUAACCCUGGCACCCUCCACAGCACACACGACAGCCUGCAGUCUAGAAAGCGGACCCGAGCCUUCGCAGAGGCGCCAUAGAGCCUCAGGCUUGCGCAGCAUCACCCAGCCUUCUGCUCCUGACUGCGAGGACGUCGGUUCUUGUAGAGCACUUUUUUAAAGCUCCCAUUUUGUAACCACUAGUGUGCAGUUGGCUUUAGUACUCUGGUGACUUACCGCAUGAAGCGUUUUCAAACUGAGAAUGCGUGCAGCUCCAGGCAGGUCUUCUUCCUGAGAGUUCGGUCUUCUCUUGAAGUCAGGGAAGCAGGAGGGAUACACAUAUAUCACACACACACAAUCCCAGGCUCGAGGCUGAAUAAUCUGGAGGCUGAGUCCCUGGAGGUCCACAUGCAGCUUCCCUGGAGGGCAGGCAGGAGGCGCUCCCGCCCCUGGGCUUGGGGAUGCCACACCCUGGGGGCUUCCAGGCCGGUCAGAUGCUGCCUUCGGGCCUUUCCCUCAGCGACCAUCCUCCACAGAUACUGACCAGCAAUGAUAGACUCUUCUUAACCCUUUCAAAAGAAGAAGUUUUUCAGUGGGACAGAAAGGAGAGUAAAAAAAAAUUUUUUUAAGGUGGUAACAUCUGACCCACAAGGGGAUGGGUCUGUUUUACGUGAAAUAAAAGUUUUUCAAAGAAA
This is a non-coding RNA of Callithrix jacchus (white-tufted-ear marmoset), 1232 nucleotides long. The record is from RefSeq and is a predicted model, not a curated record. Lineage: Eukaryota; Metazoa; Chordata; Mammalia; Primates; Cebidae.